RNAcentral lists this ribosomal RNA (322 nucleotides) under uncultured eukaryote. RNAcentral's name for it is "partial 18S ribosomal RNA". It matches the Rfam family "Eukaryotic small subunit ribosomal RNA", at positions 1470 to 1796 of the family's 1831-position model. The record is from RNAcentral.
CCCUUAGACGUUCUGGGCCGCACGCGCGCUACACUGAGUGGAUCAGCGGGUCAGGUUGCGCGAAAGCGUUUCCUAAUCUUUAAAUCCGCUCGUGAUGGGGAUUGACGGUUGCAAUUUUCUGUCAUGAACGAGGAAUACCUUGUAAGCGCGGGUCAUCAUCCCGCGCUGAAUACGUCCCUGCCCUUUGUACACACCGCCCGUCGCUCCUACCGAUUGAGUGGUCCGGUGAGGCUUUGGGAUCUGAGCGGAAAGAGCGUUUCGCUGUUUCUGCUCGGAAAACUCAGUCGAACCUUAUCAUUUAGAGGAGGGAGAAGUCGUAACA